RNAcentral lists this long non-coding RNA (412 nucleotides) under Zea mays. Its description in RNAcentral is "long non-coding RNA (ZMAY_LNC003211)". Lineage: Eukaryota; Viridiplantae; Streptophyta; Magnoliopsida; Poales; Poaceae. The record is from RNAcentral.
UGUGAGCCUCAGAAUUAUCCCACCUCGCUUAACUUGGGAGGGGGAAGCCACUUUAAAAAGGAGAGCCACCCUUCCCCCAUUGGACUAGUCUUUUGGGGCGAUUGGGCCUUUCCCUGAGUUGGGUGUGGAUAAUGAACUGUUGGGCUCCAGGCAACCCUAAUUUGUUGGGCCUCAGCCAACCCCACCUGGGCUGGGUGUAUCAUCUAGUAUCAGAGCUAGGGCCCAUUUUAAGAAGGUGGGAAUGAUGAGGACAUCCUCCACUAUUACCCGUUGGCAAAGACGCAAUUGGCCCAGUUGGCCCAAUUGUAGUCGGACGGUGACCGUGUGAGCCUCAGAAUUAUCCCACCUCGCUUAACUUGGGAGGAGGAACCCACUUUAAGGGAGAGUCACCCUUCCCCCAUUGGACUAGUCU